UGUGAAGAUGAAUACUCUGCAAACCUGCUC
Molecule: non-coding RNA, 30 nt
Filed under: Rattus norvegicus (Norway rat)
Lineage: Eukaryota; Metazoa; Chordata; Mammalia; Rodentia; Muridae
Source: RNAcentral